UGUUGGCAUUUAGCUUAAUGCUCUUUCAAUUUGAACAUUGUAUUUUCUACCAUUACUUGACCAGGUUAUAAUUUUCAGAAUAAUACGCCUGGAUGUUGUUGAGCAUCAUCAGUUUAUUGUAUUAAGAGUUGAAAUUUUUCAUGUUGCUUUCUGUUUUCAUUAGUUCUUUUUGAAUGAACUAAUGAAAACAGAAAGCAACAUGAAAAAUUUCAACUCUUAAUACAAUAAACUGAUGAUGCUCAACAACAUCCAGGCGUAUUAUUCUGAAA
RNAcentral lists this unclassified non-coding RNA (269 nucleotides) under Hevea brasiliensis (rubber tree). Lineage: Eukaryota; Viridiplantae; Streptophyta; Magnoliopsida; Malpighiales; Euphorbiaceae. The record is from RNAcentral.